AAUGUCAUUGAUUAUUGGACUUCACUGUCCUUUAAACUAAAUACAACUUUCAACAACGGAUCUCUUGGCUCUCGCAUCGAUGAAGAACGCAGCGAAAUGCGAUAACUAAUGUGAAUUGCAGAAUUCAGUGAAUCAUCGAGUCUUUGAACGCACCUUGCGCCCUUUGGUACUCCGAAGGGCAUGCCUGUUUGAGUGUCAGUAACUUCUCA
This 209-nucleotide ribosomal RNA is filed under the name Flammulina velutipes. RNAcentral describes it as "5.8S ribosomal RNA". The stretch from base 45 to 198 matches the Rfam family "5.8S ribosomal RNA". Rfam says of the family: 5.8S ribosomal RNA (5.8S rRNA) is a component of the large subunit of the eukaryotic ribosome. It is transcribed by RNA polymerase I as part of the 45S precursor that also contains 18S and 28S rRNA. The record is from RNAcentral. Lineage: Eukaryota; Fungi; Basidiomycota; Agaricomycetes; Agaricales; Physalacriaceae.